RNAcentral lists this ribosomal RNA (900 nucleotides) under Scedosporium boydii. Its description in RNAcentral is "LSU rRNA". It matches the Rfam family "Eukaryotic large subunit ribosomal RNA", at positions 38 to 963 of the family's 3401-position model. RNAcentral also lists the same sequence under 1 other name. Lineage: Eukaryota; Fungi; Ascomycota; Sordariomycetes; Microascales; Microascaceae. The record is from RNAcentral.
GCAUAUCAAUAAGCGGAGGAAAAGAAACCAACAGGGAUUGCCUCAGUAACGGCGAGUGAAGCGGCAACAGCUCAAAUUUGAAAUCUGGCGGCCUCUGGGCCGUCCGAGUUGUAAUUUGAAGAGGAUGCUUUUGGCGAGGCGCCUUCCGAGUGCCCUGGAACGGGACGCCACAGAGGGUGAGAGCCCCGUAUGGUUGGACGCCGAGCCUCUGUAAAGCUCCUUCGACGAGUCGAGUAGUUUGGGAAUGCUGCUCAAAAUGGGAGGUAAACCCCUUCUAAAGCUAAAUACUGGCCAGAGACCGAUAGCGCACAAGUAGAGUGAUCGAAAGAUGAAAAGCACUUUGAAAAGAGAGUUAAACAGCACGUGAAAUUGUUGAAAGGGAAGCGCUUGCGACCAGACUUGUGCCCGUCGAAUCAGCCGCCGCUCGUCGGCGGCGCACUUCGGCGGGCUCAGGCCAGCAUCAGUUCGCUGCAGGGGGAGAAAGGCGAUGGGAAUGUGGCUCUUCGGAGUGUUAUAGCCCGCCGCGCAAUACCCCUCGGCGGACUGAGGACCGCGCAUCUGCAAGGAUGCUGGCGUAAUGGUCGUCAGCGACCCGUCUUGAAACACGGACCAAGGAGUCGUCCUAAUAUGCGAGUGUUCGGGUGUAAAACCCCUGCGCGUAAUGAAAGUGAACGGAGGUGAGAGCUUCGGCGCAUCAUCGACCGAUCCUGAUGUUCUCGGAUGGAUUUGAGUAAGAGCAUAUUGGGCCGGACCCGAAAGAAGGUGAACUAUGCCUGUAUAGGGUAAAGCCAGAGGAAACUCUGGUGGAGGCUCGCAGCGGUUCUGACGUGCAAAUCGAUCGUCAAAUAUGGGCAUGGGGGCGAAAGACUAAUCGAACCUUCUAGUAGCUGGUUUCCGCGA